Siniperca chuatsi (mandarin fish) is the source of this 2747-nucleotide RNA transcript. It is a transcript of the gene named RNA exonuclease 5-like, with no coding region annotated. Lineage: Eukaryota; Metazoa; Chordata; Actinopteri; Centrarchiformes; Sinipercidae. The transcript is spliced from 19 exons. The record is from RefSeq and is a predicted model, not a curated record.
GUAGCAAGUAUUUUUUUCAAACUUUACAUCACAUAUUGUAACGUGCAGCAGUGCCUGUGCUUUAACCAUGUGCUUUUAGCAUUUAUCAGUGGUGGAAAAACAUGAAUUUGGACCCCCCCCAGGACCAGUAACAUCUGUAGAAACAUCAGCUUUAACAUGGAGCCUUCAUCAGCAGCAGCAACAUGCAACAGAACGAAAAGAAAAAACAUUUCCCUCACAUCACAUGAGAAGGCCAAGAGAUUAAAAACUGUGCAGGAAGGUGAGGAGACGCCGGAGUGUGUACGUUCCUCCUGCUCACCGAGGAUCUCUGUGCUGCUCGACCGCCUUCAACAACCAAUUACAUUGAAUGAGCUGAUGGAGCUGCUGCAUUAUGCUGCUCUGGGGAAAACAGGUGGCAUUAAACAGCCCAGUUGGUGUCGUCUCCUCCAUCAGAAGAGGAUUAAAGCCGUGAAUGUGGUGAUCGUGGAGGGCCUGACCCAGAGUCACUUUUACAAACACUACCUCACCCUGCGACACCUCAGGACCAGCUACACCACUAGGGUCACCUUUACUCCAUCAUCUACCGAUCUGGCAUCAGGAAUCUUCAGUAGUGAUAUCCCUGAAUCGGAUGGUCCGUCCAUUUCCCAAAGACACACUGAAAGCAGUGAAUUGCACAAAGCACUGAGGAGUCACCCAGUAAUCACUAAGUUUGGGACACAGAGGAGAGGACUGACAGCGUACCUUCUCACCCAGGAAGAGAUGAUCAAGAGACACUACCCUGUCAAAGGAAUGCCAGGCUUUGAGGGAUUUGUGUGCACAGACAGUGUUGACUCUGUGACUGACAACAGCCCUCUGUAUGGACUUGACUGUGAGAUGUGUCUAACAGAAAAGGGAAAUGAGUUGGCUCGUGUUUCUUUGGUGGAUAGUGACGGGAACUGUGUGCUGGACGAUUUGGUGAAACCUCAGAACCGAAUCCUCAACUACCUCACCAGGUUCUCUGGUAUUACUGCAGCGAUGUUGCGACCAAUCACAACCACCUUGCGGGACGUUCAAGUGAAGCUCAGGGCGUUGUUGCCGAGUGACGCAGUUCUGGUGGGCCAUUCACUUAACAACGACCUCAUAGCUCUGAAACUGAUCCACCAGCAUGUAAUCGACACCUCGUUGCUGUACAGGAGAGAGUUUGGACAGAGGUUUAAACUUAAGGUGCUGGCGGAGACAGUGCUGAAGAGGCAAAUACAAACCGAAGAGAAGAAGGGUCAUAAUUCCACUGAGGAUGCUGUGGCAGCCCUGGAGCUGGCUCAGUACUUUAUUAAAACAGGACCUCUUCAGGUUGUAGAACUUCUACUGGAGGAGCUGUGGGGAUAUACAGUAGUGGAGGAGUCCACUGACUGUGCACCUGCACCCACACCAAGUCACAGGUUUGCUGACAUACUACAGACACUUGGCCGGUCAGUAGCCUUUUUAGGGAAGCGCUCUGACAUCGCCCUGGAUCUGUCCAAUCAGCUGUGGCACAACUCUGACAAAGAGGUGUUGGCCUCUUUCAGGCGACAGACCAAGUGUCCGGACCUCUCAGUGCUCCAGUUUUCUUCCUUCUCAGACCAUCUGAAGAGGUGCCUACCUCAUCAGGAGCAGCAGUACCAGAGGGUGUGUGCAAACCUUCGAGAUAUGUGUGUAGUGUUUGCCGGGCCGUUCCCUGCAGGUUUCUCUGAGAGGAAAGUGAGGCGGCUCUUUUGUUGCUGCGGACCGGUUCGGAAAAUCAAAAUGUUGAACACAACUGUCAGGGUACAUGCAGAGGUAGAGUUCGAGCUGCUGGAGGGAGCUAUGUUGGCUUUAAAAACUUUGAAUGGACUCAAUAUGCAGGAACAGUCCAUCCAGGUCCGGAGGCCUGUUUAUGAGUCAAUGCUGGACUUGGAUCUGACUCUUGAGGCUUUGAUGAGUGACAGUCUCAACACCAGUCACCUCUACGCUGUUAAAUUAAACCCCAGUACGGCUGAGUGCAUACGAAUUUCUGCAAAGGUCAAUGGACACACGUUAGAUGCAAACUGUUCAGGUAUUACUCCUGUUACAACAGCGAACGGGUUCCCCCCAGCUAAAGUAAACGGUAAACGGUUGCAGCCCACCACCACAAAGUCUAAACUGUCUGAGGAGACGGUCAGAGAGACAUUUGGUCACUUUGGUACAGUGGAGAGAGUUGUCCUGCUUGCCAAACCUGGAAAACUUGCAAGACAUGCAUACAUAAAGUUUGAGAGUUCAGAGGGCAAACAUGCAGCCCUCAGCUCCUCUGAGGAUCUCCGGAAGGAAAACUACCUCAUCUGUCCAUCCCUAACUCCACCCCACUUACCGUCAUGGGUUGCUGUGACAACGCCAGUCACCACAGUGGAUCCUGACAGGGAAGCAGCAGAAGACGAGGAGAGGACCCACAUGCACACCAGUUCUCAGGUAAAGACAAGGACCAGGAAAUCGAUCACAUGAUGAGGAAGUUGGACCGCCGCCUGCGGAAACUCUUCAGAUCUCUCCCAGACGGCACCUUGUCUGUGGUUGUUCUGCUCGGACACACCAGUGCUCAUGGCCAGCUUCCUGGUUUGUGCCUUAUGGAGGUCAAGCAAGGGUCUUGAGGAGAACAGUGACCAGGUCCUCUGUGGAUGAUCAUAAACCUGGUCUAUCAAAAUAUCUUCCAGUCCAAUCGUGCCUGAUCUUGUGUGUCACUUGAACCAAAUGAAAGAUAAAAUCAAAUAAUUAAAAAAUAAAUCACCACAGACUUCCUUUUA